RNAcentral lists this long non-coding RNA (2006 nucleotides) under Homo sapiens (human). RNAcentral's name for it is "HSALNT0177767". Lineage: Eukaryota; Metazoa; Chordata; Mammalia; Primates; Hominidae. The record is from RNAcentral.
GCCUCCUCCCGCGUCUUGGCCCGCAAGAGUCCCGGGGGUCCGCCCGCAGCUGGCUAAGCGCUAGCCCGGCCUGUGGCGAGUCUGCAGAGCUCGCCCGGAAGUAGCGUUGCGCGCGCAGAGGAUGGGCGCUGAGCAGCACACAGCCCGCGGCGGGGUCUCAGGAUCCGCGGCGCUGCCCGGGGCCGGGGGAAGGAAGCCAGCCGAGGAGACGCACGUGCCCUGAGUCCGGGAGCGGGGAGCCUCUUCAUCUCUCCAUCCUCCCUCCGCGCGCGCCCUCAGCCGUCCUCGUCCGCUCACCAUGCACCUCCCCUCCAAGAAAGGGCCACAUGCGUGCCAGGGACGCGAGCCCCGGCCACAGGGACAUAGCAGCCUAGAAGGUGAUGCUUCGCACACUCAAGUUUGAAGAUUAACGGUCCUAGACGUCAAACCUAUUUGCAUGCCAAGUGUCGUUUUAUUUUAAAAUGUCUUCACUUUUUUUUUUUUUGGUAGAGAAGGGGGUCUUACUACGUUGCCCAGGCUGGUCUUGAACUCCUGGCCUCAAGUGAUCUUCCCAGCUUGGCCUCCCAAAGUGCUGGGAUUACAGGCAUGAGCCACUGCCCCCAGUCCCUUUUUUUUUUUUUUUUUUUUUUUUUUUGAGAUGGAGUCUUGCUCUGUUGCCAGGCUGGAGUGCAGUGGUGCGAUCUUGGCUCACUGCAACCUCUACCUCCUGGGUCCAAGCGUUUCUCCUGCCUUAGCCUCCCGAGUAGCUGGGACUACAGGCCAGCUAAUUUUUGUAUUUUUAGUAGCGACUGGGUUUCACCAUGUUGGGAAGGAUGGUCUCGAUCUCUUGACCUCGUGAUCCGCCCACCUCGGCCCCCCAAAGUGCUGGAUUACAGACGUGAGCCACCACACCCUGCCCAGUCUCUUUUUUUCUGGAAGUUUUAAGAUACUCGACGCAUGCCUUUGGCUUUGUUCAGCCAAAAGGGACUAUUAAAUGGAAAAAAGCAGGGAGGCACUACAUUAUGUUUUAAAGCUCACACUGAAGUUAACCUCAAGAACUAGAAAGUACAGAAAACAAGGCUUUCCCUACAUUAAGCAGGAAGAUCAGCAAACACAGGUUCGAAACAGGAAAGCACUGAACACCCGAUGGCUGCCUGAGAGAAACGUCCCAGGACACACUGACCCACGUGACAGCACGUGCCACUCAGACGAGGUGUCAGCAACGGAGACAGAAUGAGGAAACGGAGACCAAGGUGACGUCGGCAGUGGCCGCUGAUGCCUGCUCCAGGUGGGGUGGUGGUGGCCAUGGGCUCUGCGAAUCCCAGGCUCAAUGGCAACACUGAGGUGGGAGGAGGGGAAGGGACACUUGCUGGUGUCUGGCUUUCCUCUUGGGCAUCAGCUUCCAGCCCUUCAGCCUCAGCUCACCAACUUCCAUGGGUGGGCCCUGCUUGACUCCCCCAGCCUGUCAGCGUGUCGCCUCCCCUCUGCCACCCUGGGCUGCUUCACAACUCAGGACCGGAUGUGAGCUAUUAGGGAACCAGGCUUCCUGAUUUCCAGAGGCCAUCAGUGUGGAAGGGUGCAGGCCUGGGAGCCACCUUUGUGAGCAGGCAGGGAGAGCAGGUGGGAGUGUGAAGCCAGCACCGAGGAAGGAAGCAGAGCUGGGAAACGGUGUUAAGGGACAUGCGUGCAUGCGCGCGGUCCACGGCCUAGGCUCUGCCUUUGGGCCCUACCCACCGACUGUGUAUGUGAGCCCCCACAUUUGCAUUUAACAAUUUAACACCAGGCACCUGUCUCCUGCAGUGAUGCAGGCUCGGGACCUCCAGAGCAGCGGGCAGGAUGACGCCCUGAACCUGCACUUCAUCUCCUGGCUGCUUUAUUCUGUCAAUUGACUUCUGUAAUACAAUUUCCAUAUGGUGACACUGCCUUCCAAAACAGUUAGAGCUUAUUCUCAGUAUUCUUCAUUGGCAGUGGAAAAUGCUUCAGUACUUUAUUGAAAGAAAGCAAUAAAUAAUACUGUGAUAAAAAUA